Molecule: ribosomal RNA, 460 nt
Filed under: uncultured bacterium
Lineage: Bacteria
Description: partial 16S ribosomal RNA
Rfam family: Bacterial small subunit ribosomal RNA
Source: RNAcentral
CCUACGGGAGGCAGCAGUGAGGAAUAUUGGUCAAUGGGCGCAAGCCUGAACCAGCCAAGUCGCGUGAGGGAAGACGGCCCUACGGGUUGUAAACCUCUUUUGCCGGGGAGCAAGCCUGAGCACGUGUGCCCAGGCGGAGAGUACCCGGAGAAUAAGCAUCGGCUAACUCCGUGCCAGCAGCCGCGGUAAUACGGAGGAUGCGAGCGUUAUCCGGAUUUAUUGGGUUAAAGGGGUGCGCAGGCGGGCUGUUAAGCCGGCGGUAAAAAUUCAGGGCUCAACCCUGUCGAGCCGUCGGAACUGGCAGCCUUGAGUACAGUUGAGGUAGGCGGAAUUCGUGGUGUAGCGGUGAAAUGCUUAGAUAUCACGAAGAACUCCGAUUGCGAAGGCAGCCUACUAAACUGCCACUGACAUUGAUGCUCGAAAGUGUGGGUAUCAAACAGGAUUAGAUACCCGAGUAGUC